CAAAAUAACAAAGUAUGGCAAAAGUUUCAAUCUCCUAUAGCCUCCUCCUCCUUUUUAUCACAUACCUAUGUGUAUUCAACUUAGCAAUUGCCCAAGAUCAACCCCAAUUAGUGAAAGAUCAAUUGUUGGGUACAUUACUGUGCUCAGAAUUAAAUGUUGGUGAAUGCAAGGUGGACAAUGAUUGUAAACCUAGAUGUAUUGAAAAAUAUAAAGAUGAUCUACAAACUGCAUCGUGUUAUCAUGACCCAAUUGCGGAUAAAAAGUUUUGUUCUUGUGAAUAUUGUCGAAACAAAGACAUAUGGAACAAAGGCUGUAAAUGCCAUUAGUACUACUAUUUCUCUUUAAGUUUUAUUUAUAUGUAAUCUGACCUAAAGUUCAAUGGUCAAGAAAAAAAAAAAGAUGACAACAUAAUUUAAUGAUGUUUUCUUA
RNAcentral lists this long non-coding RNA (429 nucleotides) under Capsicum annuum. RNAcentral describes it as "long non-coding RNA (CANN_LNC000164)". Lineage: Eukaryota; Viridiplantae; Streptophyta; Magnoliopsida; Solanales; Solanaceae. The record is from RNAcentral.